GGUCGCGUUCGGCCGGAUUUUACACAAGUGUUGCAUGGCUGUCGUCAGCUCCGUGUCGUGAGAUGUUGGGUUAAGUCCCGCAACGAGCGCAACCCUCAUCCUUAGUUGCCACCAGGUAAUGCUGAGUACUUUAAGGAAACUGCCAGUGAUAAGCUGGAGGAAGGUGGGGAUGAUGUCAAGUCAUCAUGGCCUUUAUGGAGUGGGCUACACACGUGCUACAAUGGUGUCUACAAUGGGUUGCAAGGUGCGCAAGCCUAAGCUAAUCCCUAAAAGACAUCUCAGUUCGGAUUGUACUCUGCAACUCGAGUACAUGAAGUUGGAAUCGCUAGUAAUCGUGGAUCAGCAUGCCACGGUGAAUACGUUCUCGGGUCUUGUACACACUGCCCGUCACGCCAUGG
Molecule: ribosomal RNA, 398 nt
Filed under: Wolbachia endosymbiont of Tamarixia dryi
Lineage: Bacteria; Pseudomonadati; Pseudomonadota; Alphaproteobacteria; Rickettsiales; Anaplasmataceae
Description: bacterial SSU rRNA
Rfam family: Bacterial small subunit ribosomal RNA
Source: RNAcentral